CGGUUUCUGCGGGAUUCGACGCUCCAACUGUUUCCCAGGGCCAACAUUGUUCCUCUUGGGAGCUGUCCCUACCGGGGCUCCGGCCUUGGCAUAUGGCGCCCACCUGCACAUGCAGGCCUAGAGGGAACAACGGAUGCGACGGUCCACGCGGGGCCGCC
Molecule: non-coding RNA, 158 nt
Filed under: Alphaproteobacteria bacterium
Lineage: Bacteria; Pseudomonadati; Pseudomonadota; Alphaproteobacteria
Description: 6S RNA
Rfam family: 6S / SsrS RNA
About the family: E. coli 6S RNA was the first non coding RNA to be sequenced, but its function was unknown until recently. It consists of 184 nucleotides that fold into an extended hairpin structure with a large single-stranded internal bulge.
Source: RNAcentral